AUUGGUGAUUUCAACGAGAUCCUUUUCUCGUCAGAGAAGGAAGGUGGAGCUCCACGGCAUCAAUCUUGGCUUCAAGCCUUCUAGGACGCACUUGCAGAUUGCUCGUUGGAAGAUAUAGGAUAUCAUGGGGACAAGUUCACGUUCUUCAGAGGAGGGCUACAAGAGCGGCUGGGUCGCAUAGUCUCAAACGCAAAAUGGAUGGAGAUGCACCCGCUUUGUGGAGUGUUUAACCUGGAUAUGGCUAAGUCAGAUCAUCGGCCGAUCUGCUUGGACACGGAUUACCUGGUAGGAGUGGUGGCAACACGGUCAAGUGCUGGCCAAAAAUUCGAGGCGCGUUGGUUGGCAGAAGAGUCAGUGGAAGAAGUGGUGAAAACGGCUUGGCAAAAAGCUAUUGUUUGA
RNAcentral lists this ribosomal RNA (399 nucleotides) under Triticum aestivum (bread wheat). RNAcentral's name for it is "partial small subunit ribosomal RNA". Lineage: Eukaryota; Viridiplantae; Streptophyta; Magnoliopsida; Poales; Poaceae. The record is from RNAcentral.